AGCAGCCGCGGUAAUUCCAGCUCCAAUAGCGUAUAUUAAAGUUGUUGCAGUUAAAAAGCUCGUAGUUGAAUUUCGGGAUCAAGUCGUCGGUCGUGCUCAGGUACGUACUGGCGUCAUUGAUUUCUCCCUUCUGACGAACCAUGAUGUCAUUAAUUUGGUGUUAUGGGAAAUCAGGACUGUUACUUUGAAAAAAUUAGAGUGUUUAAAGCAGGCUCACGCUUGAAUACAUUAGCAUGGAAUAAUGAAAUAGGACGUUCGAUCCUAUUUUGUUGGUUUUAGGAUCAACGUAAUGAUUAAUAGGGAUAGUUGGGGGCAUUAGUAUUCAAUUGUCAGAGGUGAAAUUCUUGGAUUUAUUGAAGACUAACUACUGCGAAAGCAUUUGCCAAGGAUGUUUUCAUUAAUCAAGAACGAAAGUUAGGGGAUCGAAGACGAUCAGAUACCGUCGUAGUCUUAACCAUAAACUAUGCCGACUAGGGAUCGGAUGAUGUUAAUUUUUUAAUGACUCA
Molecule: ribosomal RNA, 506 nt
Filed under: Glomus sp. MO-G1
Lineage: Eukaryota; Fungi; Glomeromycota; Glomeromycetes; Glomerales; Glomeraceae
Description: SSU rRNA
Rfam family: Eukaryotic small subunit ribosomal RNA
Source: RNAcentral